RNAcentral lists this small RNA (1826 nucleotides) under Pan troglodytes (chimpanzee). Its description in RNAcentral is "retained intron". Lineage: Eukaryota; Metazoa; Chordata; Mammalia; Primates; Hominidae. The record is from RNAcentral.
CCGGGCCCGAGCGGAUCGCGGGCUCGGGCUGCGGGGCUCCGGCUGCGGGCGCUGGGCCGCGAGGCGCGGAGCUUGGGAGCGCAGCCCAGGCCGUGCCGCGCGGCGCCAUGAAGGGCAAGGAGGAGAAGGAGGGCGGCGCACGGCUGGGCGCUGGCGGCGGAAGCCCCGAGAAGAGCCCGAGCGCGCAGGAGCUCAAGGAGCAGGGCAAUCGUCUGUUCGUGGGCCGAAAGUACCCGGAGGCGGCGGCCUGCUACGGCCGCGCGAUCGUGAGUGCGCCCGCGCGGGGAGGGCGGCGGCGGCGGCCCCACCGAGGGUCUGGCUCCUCUUCGGGGCGUGUCCUGGGCUCCCAAAGCCCAGCCGUGGUUCUCGAGCCCAGCGCCGGGUGCCGGAGAACGAGGGUGCGAUGCUGGAUGGAGGCCGGCCGGGUGGGGGGAGGGCAGGGGCCCUCGCCCCUUGAGGACCCCAGGUCCUAAGCCCGGACUCUCCAAAGAUUUGGAAAACUUUAUAAAACCAAGUGGAGUCAAGCGGAUAGGCUCAGCCAGUACUCCACUGUGCACAGAUCCUUGGACCCAGGGGCUUUGACAACUGAGAAACCUAGUUUCUUGAUUCUAGCCAGAGCGCAGAAGCUGGGACGGGCCGUGGGUCAGAGGGGGCACGCUGAGCCUACGCCCUCAUGCGGCUGGCCCGGCCUUGGUCCCUAGACCCGGAACCCGCUGGUGGCCGUGUAUUACACCAACCGGGCCUUGUGCUACCUGAAGAUGCAGCAGCACGAGCAGGCCCUGGCCGACUGCCGGCGCGCCCUGGAGCUGGACGGGCAGUCUGUGAAGGCGCACUUCUUCCUGGGGCAGUGCCAGCUGGAGAUGGAGAGCUAUGAUGAGGCCAUCGCCAAUCUGCAGCGAGCUUACAGCCUGGCCAAGGAGCAGCGGCUGAACUUCGGGGACGACAUCCCCAGCGCUCUUCGAAUCGCGAAGAAGAAGCGCUGGAACAGCAUUGAGGAGCGGCGCAUCCACCAGGAGAGCGAGCUGCACUCCUACCUCUCCAGGCUCAUUGCCGCGGAGCGUGAGAGGGAGCUGGAAGAGUGCCAGCGAAACCACGAGGGUGAUGAGGACGACAGCCACGUCCGGGCCCAGCAGGCCUGCAUUGAGGCCAAGCACGUGAGGGUGCCCCCCACCCACAUGUGGGUCUGUGUGUGUGCACGUGGCGUGGGAGCAUCCCCGCCUUGUGUUGGAUCUGUGCCCCAUGGAGGAGGGAGGUGGGGUGUCUCCCCCAAGCGCAGCACUCAACUCUUCACAGGACAAGUACAUGGCGGACAUGGACGAGCUCUUUUCUCAGGUGGAUGAGAAGAGGAAGAAGCGAGACAUCCCCGACUACCUGUGUGGCAAGAUCAGCUUUGAGCUGAUGCGGGAGCCGUGCAUCACGCCCAGUGGCAUCACCUACGACCGCAAGGACAUCGAGGAGCACCUGCAGCGUGUGGGUCAUUUUGACCCCGUGACCCGGAGCCCCCUGACCCAGGAGCAGCUCAUCCCCAACUUGGCUAUGAAGGAGGUUAUUGACGCAUUCAUCUCUGAGAAUGGCUGGGUGGAGGACUACUGAGGUUCCCUGCCCUACCUGGCAUCCUGGUCCAGGGGAGCCCUGGGCAGAAGCCCCUGGCCCCUAUACAUAGUUUAUGUUUCUUGGCCACCCCGACCCCUUCCCCCAAGUAAGUUCUGCUGUUGGACUCUGGACUGUUCCCUCUCUCAGCAUCGCUUUUGCUGGGCCGUGAUCGUCCCCCUUUGUGGGCUGGAAAAGCAGGUGAGGGUGGGCUGGGCUGAGGCCACUGCCGCCAC